RNAcentral lists this ribosomal RNA (305 nucleotides) under uncultured bacterium. RNAcentral describes it as "bacterial SSU rRNA". It matches the Rfam family "Bacterial small subunit ribosomal RNA", at positions 334 to 631 of the family's 1533-position model. The record is from RNAcentral.
UUGUCCUACGGGGCGCAGCAGUAGGGAAUCUUCGGCAAUGGGCGAAAGCCUGAUCGAGCAACGCCGCGUGAAUGAAGAAGGCCUUCGGGUUGUAAAAUUCUGUUAUAAGGGAAGAAAGGUGAUAGGAGGAAAUGACUAUCAAUUGACGGUACCUUAUGAGAAAGCCACGGCUAACUACGUGCCAGCAGCCGCGGUAAUACGUAGGGGGCAAGCGUUAUCCGGAUUUACUGAGUGUAAAGGGGGCGCAGACGGCGAUGCAAGCCAGGAGUGAAAGCCCGGGGCCCAACCCCGGGACUGCUCUUGGA